ACGCUCGUAGCAAUACGGGAGUGGCAGACGGGUGAGUAACGCGUGGGAACAUACCCUCCGGUUCGGAAUAGCUCAGGGAAACUUGGAUUAAUACCGGAUACGGCUGAGAGGCGAAAGAUUUAUCGCCGGAGGAUUGGCCCGCGUUCGAUUAGCUAGUUGGUGAGGUAAUGGCUCACCAAGGCGAUGAUCGAUAGCUGGUCUGAGAGGAUGAUCAGCCACAUUGGGACUGAGACACGGCCCAAACUCCUACGGGAGGCAGCAGUGGGGAAUAUUGGACAAUGGGCGCAAGCCUGAUCCAGCCAUGCCGCGUGAGUGAUGACGGCCUUAGGGUUGUAAAGCUCUUUCGCUCGGGACGAUAAUGACGGUACCGAGAUAAGAAGCCCCGGCUAACUUCGUGCCAGCAGCCGCGGUAAUACGAAGGGGGCUAGCGUUGUUCGGAAUUACUGGGCGUAAAGCGCGUGUAGGCGGGUCUUUAAGUCAGGGGUGAAAUGCCAAGGCUCAACCUUGGAACUGCCUUUGAUACUGGAGAC
This 530-nucleotide ribosomal RNA is filed under the name uncultured bacterium. Its description in RNAcentral is "bacterial SSU rRNA". It matches the Rfam family "Bacterial small subunit ribosomal RNA", at positions 66 to 640 of the family's 1533-position model. The record is from RNAcentral.